GCAGCUAAGUUUAAUAAAGUAAAAUUAGUGUACUGUAAUUUAGAAAGAUAAGAAAAAGUGAUAAUUUAGAAUGUUAGAUAAGUAAAAUAGAUGGUUGCCUAUUUAGGAAAUGUUAGUCAUCGCGAGUUCAGUCUGCAAACUUUUAAUUUAGUAACAUGUUGUAAACAAUGUCAUAGGCCUAGAGAUCUACUAGAAAGCUAAGACGCUUUUGAAUUAAGACCCCCAGCACAAAACCCCAGGUUACAUGGUUGUGAUAAUUCUAUAUUUUUAGCCCGCAUAGCAUUGGCCCGCCCGCGGUUACUAUUAAAACUAGUAACCCCAAGAGCAGGCGCGCCGGCACAAUGCUAUGCGGGCUAAAAAUAUAAAAUUAUCACAACUAUAUAACCUGGGCUUCCUGCCCCCCUCAGUUGUUAAAAUAUUAGUAAGUGCUAAAAAAUGAGGUAGCUAAUCCCAAAUUACAAUAAUUUGUUAUAUUCUGUUAGCAGUUACAAUGACUGUGAGCAUUUCUUGACUUUCUUUUUGGAGAUAAUGAAAGAUUUAAGGUUUUUAAAUUUGUUUCACGCUCAUUCCAAAUAUCAAUCCCUGUACUAGUAAGGAAAUGUUUAACAUAUAUUGAGAUUGAAAAGAUUUCUUGUUUUGUAAUUGUGAACAUUGCUAUUGUUUACAAACAAGUUGUUAAAUGUUCCAUCACGAUGUGAUGGUUUGGAAACUAAACAGAAGUAAUUGUGUUGUUUUUGUGUGAGUUUUAAAAACCGCGCAAUCAAUUUUGGUCAAAAUCUUUAACUUCGUAAAAAUAUUCACUGGGUCAACCCUCUUCAAAUUCUGGUGUGGAACUUUUCUAAAUGACAGUGCACUCUUGAAAAUAAAACAAGAGAGCAUAUCGAAAACUACGUUGCAUGUUUCAACAUGUUCCCUUGAACCAGUAAGAAACACAGUUUAACAAAUAAGACUUCCUCUCAGUCCACAACAAUCUUUUGAUAUCUAAUAGCCUGACAAACGCAGACAAGCUUCUGAGUUGUUGACACAAAAAUAUUGCUAUACCAAAUUAUUGUAAAAUUAUCUUAAAAGAAUCUAUAUCGUCUUUCAGACACUAUGUUUAUUUUCCAAAUACAUGUUCUAUUAUCCAAUCAACUGUCACGAUAUUUUGGUCUCCUUAGAUGGUGUCUUGAUGUUCAAGUUGUAUUAUUAACACUGUGAAUAGUGUGGAUUGAUUGUGUGGUGUUUUGUGGCUGUUACUGCCGGAUAACUCGUUACAGAUUGUCAUUGAUAUGGCUUUGAUCAACUCUUAGUUUCACCAUUACUUCCAUUGCAAGCCGUUUUCUCACUACUAGGACCAUUCUCCACGAUGUCUCCAUGUUUUACAGGCAUGAAUAGUAAACAGUAAGGAAACAGAACAUGACAUCUUUUCUUAUACUCUUCCACUUUGUCAGGACAUUCGCCAAAACAUCCAGUUUGCAAAGCAUUCAAAACAUCUGUAGAAACCUAAAAUAAUCUGGAGUGAAAACCUGGACUACUGAUGCGUUACGAGAUGGCGGGCAACUUUAGAACUGCGGACACUGAGAGGAGAAAGAAACAACAUCUCUAUUUAUUGCUUAUUAUAAACCAUGCAAACAAAUAAAUAUUCUGAUAGCUGCAUGGUAGUUGAUCAACGAUCACCUGCAGCAUGGUAAAGUAAACUAGUAUAUACAGGGUGUCCUCAAAAAAGUAACACUAUAUAGAAAUUAUCCUAUUGUUAUAAUUUGAAUGCCUGAGCACUAUGCUGAACA
RNAcentral lists this long non-coding RNA (1766 nucleotides) under Paramuricea clavata. The record is from RNAcentral. Lineage: Eukaryota; Metazoa; Cnidaria; Anthozoa; Malacalcyonacea; Plexauridae.